CCUACGGGAGGCUGCAGUGGGGAAUAUUGGGCAAUGGGCGCAAGCCUGACCCAGCAACGCCGCGUGAAGGAAGAAGGCUCUCGGGUUGUAAACUUCUUUUCUCAGGGACGAAGCAAGUGACGGUACUUGAUGAAUAAGCCACGGCUAACUACGUGCCAGCAGCCGCGGUAAUACGUAGGUGGCAAGCGUUAUCCGGAUUUACUGGGUGUAAAGGGCGUGUAGGCGGGAAAGCAAGUCAGAUGUGAAAACCAUGGGCUCAACCCGUGGCCUGCAUUUGAAACUGUUUUUCUUGAGUGUUGGAGAGGCAGGCGGAAUUCCGUGUGUAGCGGUGAAAUGCGUAGAUAUUAGGAGGAACACCAGUGGCGAAGGCGGUCUGCUGGACAGCAACUGACGCUGAGGCGCGAAAGCGUGGGGAGCAAACAGGAUUAGAUACCCCAGUAGUC
RNAcentral lists this ribosomal RNA (443 nucleotides) under uncultured bacterium. Its description in RNAcentral is "partial 16S ribosomal RNA". It matches the Rfam family "Bacterial small subunit ribosomal RNA", at positions 338 to 795 of the family's 1533-position model. The record is from RNAcentral.